This 315-nucleotide ribosomal RNA is filed under the name uncultured eukaryote. Its description in RNAcentral is "partial 18S ribosomal RNA". It matches the Rfam family "Eukaryotic small subunit ribosomal RNA", at positions 1470 to 1796 of the family's 1831-position model. The record is from RNAcentral.
CCCUUAGAUGUUCUGGGCUGCACGCGCGCUACACUGACGCACGCAACAGGUGCCUGCUCCGAGAGGACUGGGUAAUCAUUUGAGUGUGCGUCGUGAUGGGGAUAGAAUAUUGUAAUUAUUACUCUUCAACGAGGAAUUCCUAGUAAGCGCCAGUCAGCAGCUUGCGCUGAUUACGUCCCUGCCCUUUGUACACACCGCCCGUCGCUCCUACCGAUGGGUGAUCCGGUGAAUGAUUCGGACUUCAGCGGCUCCCCUGGGGUGCGCCGGAGAAAGUUUUGUGAACCUUAUCACUUGGAGGAAGGAGAAGUCGUAAUA